GACGAACGCUGGCGGCGUGCCUAAUACAUGCAAGUUGGGCGAUGAAGAUUGGUGCUUGCACCAAUUUGAAGAGCAGCGAACGGGUGAGUAACGCGUGGGGAAUCUGCCUUUGAGCGGGGGACAACAUUUGGAAACGAAUGCUAAUACCGCAUAACAACUUUAAACAUAAGUUUUAAGUUUGAAAGAUGCAAUUGCAUCACUCAAAGAUGAUCCCGCGUUGUAUUAGCUAGUUGGUGAGGUAAAGGCUCACCAAGGCGAUGAUACAUAGCCGACCUGAGAGGGUGAUCGGCCACAUUGGGACUGAGACACGGCCCAAACUCCUACGGGAGGCAGCAGUAGGGAAUCUUCGGCAAUGGACGAAAGUCUGACCGAGCAACGCCGCGGGAGUGAAGAAGGGUUUCGGAUCGUAAAACUCUGUUGGUAGAGAAGAACGUUGGUGAGAGUGGAAAGCUCAUCAAGUGACGGUAACUACCCAGAAAGGGACGGCUAACUACGUG
Molecule: ribosomal RNA, 497 nt
Filed under: uncultured bacterium
Lineage: Bacteria
Description: partial 16S ribosomal RNA
Rfam family: Bacterial small subunit ribosomal RNA
Source: RNAcentral